This is a small nucleolar RNA of Lathyrus oleraceus (garden pea), 107 nucleotides long. Lineage: Eukaryota; Viridiplantae; Streptophyta; Magnoliopsida; Fabales; Fabaceae. The record is from RefSeq and is a predicted model, not a curated record.
AAACCAUGAUGUAGGUAGAGCCUCAUCAUGUCCUUAUAUCUCUCUCAGGCCUCAAAAAAGGAUUCACCGUCGGUUUGUCUAAAACACGUUAUCUAGUUUCUUAACAC